RNAcentral lists this non-coding RNA (185 nucleotides) under Fusibacter sp. 3D3. Lineage: Bacteria; Bacillati; Bacillota; Clostridia; Eubacteriales; Fusibacteraceae. RNAcentral also lists the same sequence under 1 other name. The record is from RNAcentral.
CAACUAAAUGUUAUUAUUGGUCCUUUAAAUAGGAUAAAAGGGAAUAGAGGUUAAAAGCCUCAGCAGCCCCCGCUACUGUAUGGGAGUACAACGUUUCAAAGCCACUGUGAAUUAUAAAUUCAUGGGAAGGUGAAACUGUAGAGUGAUCCCCGAGCCAGGAGACCUACCAGUGAUAUUGAAUGAUC